This 63-nucleotide transfer RNA is filed under the name Alphaproteobacteria bacterium. Its description in RNAcentral is "tRNA-OTHER". The record is from RNAcentral. Lineage: Bacteria; Pseudomonadati; Pseudomonadota; Alphaproteobacteria.
GGGUGGUUGCUCUUAACGUUGACAUGGUAAGGGUCACAGGUUCGAUCCCUGUACCACCCACCA